This 743-nucleotide long non-coding RNA is filed under the name Mytilus galloprovincialis (Mediterranean mussel). Lineage: Eukaryota; Metazoa; Mollusca; Bivalvia; Mytilida; Mytilidae. The record is from RNAcentral.
UUAAGGGAGUUUGCUUCUCAGUUUCAAAGUAAUUAACUUUUCAAAACAUUAGUUUAUAUUGACAGAGGAUUAAUUAAGGAAUCAAAAGAGCAAAAAAAUAUAUAUAGGUCAUCGUGCUUGUUUUUGAGAUAUUAGCCAUGGAAAUUUUGGCGGGAAAAUAUUCUCUCUUGACUUUUCAUAGCUUUAUCACAAGUUAAAGUUCUCAAAAACUAUUAAAAAAUAAUUAAAAUUUUAUAAGACUUUAACAGAUGGCUUAUCAUCAUACAUGUAAAAGAUUUACAAAAAGAAAAAUGGGGGUCACCGGGCAACUUUUUUUCAAGGCAUUCAAAUGGAUAAAACCAGAGGAUUCCGAAAAUCUGACAAAAAAUCCAAAACAUGAUAAGCCAGCUUCCUUAACAGCAUUAUGAGUUAAAAUAUUUAUUUAUACAAAUAUAAAACCUCUUUACAAUAUUUUGAAAAAUUUAAGGCGUUUAGUUUCAUUAAGAGUUUGGAAGGGAAGGUUUAUUCUUUAUUUAUUUCACACAUUAUUCCUUAUUAAUUAUUUUGUGAGCCUCAUUCUCUCUAAUCUUUAUUUCUUGGUCAAAUUUGUCUUUAUUCUUUGUUUUGUUAGCCAUUUAUUUAGCUCAUUAUGUUUAUUCUGUAAACUCCAUCCAGAGCCUUGUACAUACAAUAGAUCAACAAUACAAUAAUUGAGGACAUGUCUAUUAUCUUUAUUCUUCUAUAAAAUUAACAUUUCUUUAUUA